UUCCUUUAGAGCCAACAAAAUUGGGGAAUGGCUUAAUCGACACAAUUUCGGGCAUGGGAAUGGGAAUUAGAUAUAGACAUAUUCGGACAUUUUGAAAGGUGCAGCUUCUACGCAACUUCAGUACGAAGACACAAGGCAAAACAAUCAGUUAACAUUUAGAACUCGAGGGAUCUCAUAUAUUUAGCAAUUUCGCCAGCGCUCCAAAUUAUGAGCAUCAGAGCUACACCAUUCAUUAUAUGGCGCCGGUGUUCAUAUGAUUAAUCUCAAGACUGUUCGUGAUUGGUAAGAGCUGUGAUAAAUCGCGAAGCAAUGGCCGGCAAAAAGGGGGGCAAAGGAAAAAAUAAGGCGCCAAAGGAGAAAAAGGAAAAGAAACCAAAGCACAAAGGGCGAAAAGGAAAAAAGGAGAAGAAAGAGAAAGUUAAAGCCGAUGCAUACAGUGCCGUGGCCAUGGAAAACGCCUAUUACAUCUGUCAUGAUGUAGCCGACUUCCUGCAUUACCGAGGGUUUAAAUGGCACGGUGCUGGGAAGAAGAAAGGAAAGAAGGGCAAGAAAUAAAACGAAUCAUACCGCUUCCAUCAAUACAUUGGAAUGACAAACAUC
Long non-coding RNA from Pollicipes pollicipes, 600 nucleotides. RefSeq lists it as uncharacterized. Lineage: Eukaryota; Metazoa; Arthropoda; Thecostraca; Pollicipedomorpha; Pollicipedidae. The record is from RefSeq and is a predicted model, not a curated record. The transcript is spliced from 4 exons.